This 491-nucleotide ribosomal RNA is filed under the name uncultured bacterium. Its description in RNAcentral is "partial 16S ribosomal RNA". It matches the Rfam family "Bacterial small subunit ribosomal RNA", at positions 29 to 506 of the family's 1533-position model. The record is from RNAcentral.
AGUGAACGCUGGCGGUAGGCCUAACACAUGCAAGUCGAACGGCAGCACAGUAAGAGCUUGCUCUUACGGGUGGCGAGUGGCGGACGGGUGAGGAAUACAUCGGAAUCUACUUUUUCGUGGGGGAUAACGUAGGGAAACUUACGCUAAUACCGCAUACGACCUACGGGUGAAAGCAGGGGAUCUUCGGACCUUGCGCGAUUGAAAGAGCCGAUGUCGGAUUAGCUAGUUGGCGGGGUAAAGGCCCACCAAGGCGACGAUCCGUAGCUGGUCUGAGAGGAUGAUCAGCCACACUGGAACUGAGACACGGUCCAGACUCCUACGGGAGGCAGCAGUGGGGAAUAUUGGACAAUGGGCGCAAGCCUGAUCCAGCCAUACCGCGUGGGUGAAGAAGGCCUUCGGGUUGUAAAGCCCUUUUGUUGGGAAAGAAAAGCAGCAGGUUAAUACCCCGCUGUUCUGACGGUACCCAAAGAAUAAGCACCGGCUAACUGCGU